GGGGAAACCUCAAGGGCGGUGAUCACAGAUUGCAAAAGGGGAACAUUGGGGAGGAGAAGGUGCAAUGGUACUAUGCUAUGCUAUCUCUUGUGCUAGGCGCCAAUAUGCCACUCUCAGUGCGCAUCGCGCGCCUGUGUGCAGAACUUGGCAAGGCGCAUUGCUAUCCUCAACCCAACGCUUCCUCUCUUGCCCUCUGUGGUCGCGAAGCAAGACCGUUCCGUAGGUGAACCUGCGGAAGGAUCAUUA
Molecule: ribosomal RNA, 246 nt
Filed under: Pleosporales sp. r013
Lineage: Eukaryota; Fungi; Ascomycota; Dothideomycetes; Pleosporales
Description: partial 18S ribosomal RNA
Source: RNAcentral